Molecule: long non-coding RNA, 874 nt
Organism: Onychostoma macrolepis
Lineage: Eukaryota; Metazoa; Chordata; Actinopteri; Cypriniformes; Cyprinidae
Exons: 8
Source: RefSeq, a predicted model, not a curated record
GUUAUAGCUCUGCAGAGGUGGCCUAUCUAAUUAAGUUAGCUAACAUAGUUAAACUAAUUAGCGUUGGAAAUACCGCUGGUAUGUUCAGAUGAAUUUGAAAUGCAUUUAACGUUGUCCAUAGAUGCACAGAACAGUGUUGCGGCAUGAGAAGAUUGCCCUUCAGAGCUCGUUAAAAACAAGGAUAUCCCAUCGCAAAGAGACAGCUUGGACUGUGGAGUGUUCAUGCUGAUGUCUGCACUAUACAUUACUUUUGAGUGGCCAUUUGAUUUCAGCCAGACAGACAUGCCUUACAUUCGUGAGUGCUGGCUGAACCUAGUAUUAAAAUGCAUGAGACAUAAAAGGGAAGCCUCAAGGAGCAUCACGUGGACUACAUGUAUGGUUGUUCCAAGGACCAUGGGAUUAUUGUGUUGCCAGCAUCUGUUCUGGAGGACAUUUUUAUUGAAGUGGUUCUCCAGGAGGGUGAUGAGGCAAUUCUGACGCUGGCCCUGGUGUGCACUCGUUUCAGAGACCUUGUGACACGGGAAGCCUUCAGGAGACGAGCCCAUUUUCUUUGGCUUGACAAUGUCAUAAAUUGGAGUGCUUUCUCCACAUACUACAAGGCGGAGUUCUACAAAAUGUACAGACUGCAAACCUGUAUGCAGUGUGGAGACGUAUUCAAAAAUUGCAUUCCAGGAUAUGUAGGUCGUGGAAUAAGGGGGGAACUCAUAAAAAUCAUUAGCGAAGACACCCACCCAGACUUCUGCAGCGAGUUCUGCCAAAUCUGUGCUGAACUUAUUUGAGUGUUGUGUGCAUGUAGUGCCAUAGAUAUAAACUCCAUACCUUUCAGUGACAACUCAAUUUUUUAAGGUCAAACUAGGUGGGUGGGGGGUCUUAC